This 253-nucleotide ribosomal RNA is filed under the name uncultured bacterium. RNAcentral's name for it is "partial 16S ribosomal RNA". It matches the Rfam family "Bacterial small subunit ribosomal RNA", at positions 524 to 776 of the family's 1533-position model. The record is from RNAcentral.
UACGGAGGGGACUAGCGUUGUUCGGAAUUACUGGGCGUAAAGCGCACGUAGGCGGAUUUGUAAGUCAGGGGUGAAAUCCCGGGGCUCAACCUCGGAACUGCCUUUGAUACUGCAAAUCUCGAGUCCGGAAGAGGUGAGUGGAAUCCCUAGUGUAGAGGUGAAAUUCGUAGAUAUUAGGAAGAACACCAGUGGCGAAGGCGGCUCACUGGUCCGGUACUGACGCUGAGGUGCGAAAGCGUGGGGAGCAAACAGG